Molecule: long non-coding RNA, 984 nt
Organism: Molossus molossus (Pallas's mastiff bat)
Lineage: Eukaryota; Metazoa; Chordata; Mammalia; Chiroptera; Molossidae
Exons: 3
Source: RefSeq, a predicted model, not a curated record
CCGGAGCCGGAGGGAGUCGCAGGUGGGAACUCGCGGCGGGGAGUCCGCGAACCCGUCGCUUCCGGUGUGCGACCCGGUGGCCCAAGGGGACGGACCGACGCGCGCUAAGUGUGGUUGAUGGUGAGGUCCAGAUAGUAGAAAAUCUGAUGAAGCCAUGCGGUGGAGCCAAAGAAUACUUACAGUUCUUUGCUACAAAGCUAUAAUGGAAGAUCAUGAGAAGCUAUAGUGACCUUUCAAGUCAUCACCCAUGCAGAGAAGACUGGGUGCUGAAAUAUCUUUCCAGUCCUGACAUGAAGGAAUACGGAUGUGUUUGACGUCUUCACUUCCAGGAAUGAAGCCAAAUAUUUUCUUUAUGCGCUGCAUGAUGAGGUGGCGCGAGUGCUGCUCUGCAGCUUGUUCAAAGAGCUCCCUCUCGUUGCGGAGGUGGUUGGUCCAGUAGCAGUGCUGCAGAGGUGUGAGGGGAGAGCAGCAUCUCACCAAACAGCGGGAGACGAGGGUAGCGAUAGCUGCCAAGGUGAUUAAAAUCCAGCCCAGCAUCUUCGUGUGAUUGUUUAAAAGGAAAACAGAAAACAUCAAUGCAUCGAAUAUUAAGAAACCUCCAUGUAGAAGGAAUUCCUAUAAAACUGAGAACCAUACUGUGGGCAAGAUAUUUGUUUUUCUAGUUUUUAACAUACUAACAAGGUGCUGAUCGUUUGAUAUGAAUAUGGAUGUGAUGAAAGUAUAGGCCCAACCAUUUCAGCUUUGUUUAUGAAUUACAAAGGAGUUAACUUGGAAUGGAUUUUAAGUAUUGCCCUUGAAACAGCAGAUGCUAUAACCCACCACUUACCUUUGCAUAAAGGUACAUAAAACAUGUUCUUGGUUUUUAGUUCAUCUUUACUUUCGACCAUCAGGUAGAGGCCCAUGCAUUCUCUAGGGGCUAAAUAAGUAUUUGAUAAUGAUGGUGAUGAAAAUGAUAUGAUAGAUAAUAAUGGUAGCCUCCUAAGG